CCAACAGGGAUUGCCUCAGUAACGGCGAGUGAAGCGGCAACAGCUCAAAUUUGAAAGCUGGCUCUUUUAGGGCCCGCAUUGUAAUUUGUAGAGGAUGCUUCAGGUGCGGCGCUGGUCUAAGUUCUUUGGAACAAGACGUCAUAGAGGGUGAGAAUCCCGUAUGUGACUAGCUGCCUGUGCCUGUGUGAAGCUCCUUCGACGAGUCGAGUUGUUUGGGAAUGCAGCUCAAAAUGGGUGGUGUACUUCAUCUAAAGCUAAAUAUUGGCCAGAGACCGAUAGCGCACAAGUAGAGUGAUCGAAAGAUGAAAAGCACUUUGGAAAGAGAGUUAAACAGUACGUGAAAUUGUUGAAAGGGAAGCGCUUGCAAUCAGACUUGUGCGGCGUCGAUCAACCUGGGUUCUCCCUGGUGCACUCGGCGCUGCUCAGGCCAGCAUCAGUUUCGGCGGUUGGAUAAAGGCCUAGGGAACGUGGGUUACUUCGGUGACUGUUAUAGCCCUAGGUGCAAUGCAGCCUGCUGGGACUGAGGACCGCGCUUCGGCUAGGAUGCUGGCGUAAUGGUUGUAAGCGACCCGUCUUGAAACACGGACCAAGGAGUCUAACAUCUAUGCGAGUUUUUGGGUGUUAAACCCAUAAGCGUAAUGAAAGUGAACGGAGGUGAGAACCCUUCAGGGUGCAUCAUCGACCGAUCCUGAUGUCUUCGGAUGGAUUUGAGUAAGAGCAUAGCUGUUGGGACCCGAAAGAUGAUGAUCUAUACCUGAAUAGGGUGAAGCCAGAGGAAACUCUGGUGGAGGCUCGCAGCGGUUCUGACGUGCAAAUCGAUCGUCAAAUUUGGGUAUAGGGGCGAAAGACUAAUCGAA
This 857-nucleotide ribosomal RNA is filed under the name Cudonia sp. T. Bau 6385. RNAcentral describes it as "eukaryotic LSU rRNA". It matches the Rfam family "Eukaryotic large subunit ribosomal RNA", at positions 65 to 939 of the family's 3401-position model. Lineage: Eukaryota; Fungi; Ascomycota; Leotiomycetes; Rhytismatales; Cudoniaceae. The record is from RNAcentral.